UACUUUUUUUACUCUUUUUAGGUGAAACUGGUGAUUUAUAAAAACCAAACAGCUGUGGUUAAUAUGAUAUUUGAUGGACAAAAUACAAAUCGUGAAACCUGGUUCUCUCAUGAAAAGCUGAAAAGUUCCCCAUGGAAUGAUUUAUCUUCAACCACCCCAUAUAUUUUCUCACUUCGGGGAUUUAGGAUAUGGAACUGGUGAUUCCAUGACCGUCUUCAUCCGCUUAAAAACCUAACUAACCAAUCAAAAGAUUUCCUGUAACUGACGUCCAUCUCUACAAGAUAUGGAGAAAACGAAACUGACUAAAACCUUGGGAUAUUGUCACCCGAUGUCUUUUUCAUUUACUGUAGUUACUUUUGAGAAGCACAUUUAAAGUAAGAAUGAUUCUUCAUUUGUUCUCUGAACACUUUUAAAGCUCGAUUUUCCAGAAAUAUUCAGGACCGAAUUAUUUUAUACCUUCCGACAUUGUAACAAGUCUAGUGGACAUCGCAGAUGGAGAAAUUUAUAGACUCCCUUUGUUGUUGUAUUUUAGAUUAAGUUAAAAAAAAAACUCGAGUACAUUUAAUAGUGUUUUAUAUACAUUAUACUUUUUUUCAUUAAUGUUCUAGAAAUUAUACAUUUAUAUUUUUCGUCGUUUGUGUUUCUGAGUCAGUUUUUGUAAUUUCUAUUGUGAGCCAUUGCUUCAGGUUAAAUAGUGCCACGAAACAGAUUUGGUGUAAUUCGAGAUAUGUCACCGUAAACACAGGUUUAUGCAGCUUAACAGGUGAGCUAUAACAACACAAACUAGCAGUACCUGUGAGAAUUCCACAUUAUUUUCAAAAUUGUAUAUUUUGCUGAAAAAUUUGAAUAAGAUGUGAAAACCCACGUAGGCAGUAUUGAAGGAGCAAUCUAUCUAUCUAUCUAUCUAUCUAUCUAUUUGUCUGUCUGUCUGUCUGUCUAUCUUCUGUCUGUCUGUCUAUCUUCUGUCUGUCUGUCUGUUUAUCUAUCUAUCUGUCAGCCUGUCUAUCUACUUAACUGUCUAUCUACUUGUCUGUCUGUCUGCCUGUCUAUUUGUCUGUCUAUCUACAUGUUUAUAUGAAAAAUGCCCAUGAAAAAUACACAGAAAAUGCAAAGUUCUGCAGUUCCCUUUUACUUGAACUAUAAAAAGAAAAUCUGUGUGUGUGUGUUAAUGAAAAAUUGUGCGAGUGUAUCUAAACUGGUUAAUGUCUGUUCUUGCACUUUUGAUUAUAUUGACAGAUAUAUUGACACUAUUGACAGAUAAUGCGUUAUGUUUACGUAUGACAGAAGAUGGGAGUGUUAUAGUUGGGGAAUAGACCCGACGAAAGCCUCCUUAAGUCGAUCAACACUGACAGUCUCCCAUGAAUGUUCAAAGCCAAAUACUUUUAAUACACUAUACGGGCCGGAAUAAUCUGUCUGCAAGAGAUGCUUAACUGCAUUGUUGCAUAUAAAACGUGAGUCCCGGUAUUGAUAUUGUGUUGAAGAAAAGUCGGUGGAGGUAAAGA
Long non-coding RNA from Octopus bimaculoides (California two-spot octopus), 1502 nucleotides. Lineage: Eukaryota; Metazoa; Mollusca; Cephalopoda; Octopoda; Octopodidae. The record is from RefSeq and is a predicted model, not a curated record.